RNAcentral lists this ribosomal RNA (497 nucleotides) under uncultured bacterium. RNAcentral's name for it is "partial 16S ribosomal RNA". It matches the Rfam family "Bacterial small subunit ribosomal RNA", at positions 28 to 507 of the family's 1533-position model. The record is from RNAcentral.
GAUGAACGCUGGCGGCGUGCCUAAUACAUGCGAGUCGAGCGAACAGACGAGGAGCUUGCUCCUCUGACGUUAGCGGCGGACGGGUGAGUAACACGUGGAUAACCUACCUAUAAGACUGGGAUAACUUCGGGAAACCGGAGCUAAUACCGGAUAAUAUAUUGAACCGCAUGGUUCAAUAGUGAAAGACGGUUUUGCUGUCACUUAUAGAUGGAUCCGCGCCGCAUUAGCUAGUUGGUAAGGUAAUGGCUUACCAAGGCAACGAUGCGUAGCCGACCUGAGAGGGGGAUCGGCCACACUGGAACGGAGACACGGUCCAGACUCCUACGGGAGGCAGCAGUAGGGAAUCUUCCGCAAUGGGCGAAAGCCUGACGGAGCAACGCCGCGGGAGUGAUGAAGGUCUUCGGAUCGUAAAACUCUGUUAUUAGGGAAGAACAAAUGUGUAAGUAACUAUGCACGUCUUGACGGUACCUAAUCAGAAAGCCACGGCUAACUACGUG